GACGAACGCUGGCGGCGUGCCUAAUACAUGCAAGUAGAACGCUGAAGGAGGAGCUUGCUUCUCCGGAUGAGUUGCGAACGGGUGAGUAACGCGUAGGUAACCUGCCUGGUAGCGGGGGAUAACUAUUGAAAACGAUAGCUAAUACCGCAUAAGAGUAGAUGUCGCAUGACAUUUGCUUAAAAGGUGCACCUGCACCACUACCAGAUGGACCUGCGUUGUAUUAGCUAGUUGGUGAGGUAACGGCUCACCAAGGCAACGAUACAUAGCCGACCUGAGAGGGUGAUCGGCCACACUGGGACUGAGACACGGCCCAGACUCCUACGGGAGGCAGCAGUAGGGAAUCUUCGGCAAUGGACGGAAGUCUGACCGAGCAACGCCGCGUGAGUGAAGAAGGUUGUCGGAUCGUAAAGCUCUGUUGUAAGAGAAGAACGAGUGUGAGAGUGGAAAGUUCACACUGUGACGGUAGCUUACCAGAAAGGGACGGCUAACUACGUG
This 495-nucleotide ribosomal RNA is filed under the name uncultured bacterium. RNAcentral's name for it is "partial 16S ribosomal RNA". It matches the Rfam family "Bacterial small subunit ribosomal RNA", at positions 28 to 507 of the family's 1533-position model. The record is from RNAcentral.